CUGAACCCUAAUGGGGUAAGCGAUGGACAGUAGUUUAAUAUUACUACACCGCCGAGCUUUUGUUUUAAGGCAAAGGGGGGACACAGUAAGGUAGGUUGAGCAUACCUAUUGGACAUGGUGUGUUUCCAACUCAAGGUGCAUCAGGGCAGGCAAAUCCACCCUGGUAUUAAGCUGAGGGGAGGGAGAAUUUGAGGGGCAACCUGAGAAAACUCGACUGAGCCUACGCUGUCGAGAAAAGCCUCGUUGCUAAAAAGCUGGGCGUCUGUACCGCAAACCGCCACUGGUAGGUGGGGAUAAGAGUCCCAAGGUGUUCGAGAGAACCCUCGUUAAGGAACUCGGCAAUCUAACCCCGUAACUUCGGGAGAAGGGGUCCCCGAUUAUGUCGGGGGGCACAAAAUUGGCCCAGGCGACUGUUUAACAAAAACACAGGUCUCUGCUAAAGCGAAAAAGCUGAAAUAUAGAGGCUGAUACCUGCCCGGUGCCAGAAGGUUAAGGAGAGAGGUUAGGAUGACAACAUUCAAAGCCUUGAACCGAAGCCCUGGUGAACGGCGGCCGUAACUAUAACGGUCCUAAGGUAGCGAAGUCCCUUGUCGGGUAAGUUCCGACCUGCACGAAAGGUGUAACGCCCUGGGCGCUGUCUCAACGAGGGACUCGGUGAAAUUGAAUUGGGGGUGAAGAUGCCCUCGACCCGCAACAGGACAAAAAGACCCUAGCAGCUUUACUAUAGCUUGGCAUUGGGCUUAGGCUGAGCAUGUGUAGGAUAGGUGGGAGGCUGGGAAGCUGGGGCGUCAGCUUCAGCAGAGCCAACGGUGAAAUACCACUCUUGCUUGGUUUUGGUUCUAACCCACCUUCGGGUGGGGACACUGUCUGGUGGGUAGUUUAACUGGGGCGGUUGCCUCCUAAAAUGUAACGGAGGCGUCCAAAGGUUCCCUCAGCACGAAUGGAAACCGUGUGUAGAGUGCAUUGGCAUAAGGGAGCUUGACUGCGAGACCUACAAGUCGAGCAGGGACGAAAGUCGGGCAAAGUGAUCCUACGGCACUGUAUGGAAAGGCCGUGGCUUAUCGGAUAAAAGCUACGCUAGGGAAAACAGGCUUAUCUUGCCCAAGAGUUCACAUCGACGGCAAGGUUUGGCACCUCGAUGUCGGCUCGCCGCAUCCUGGGGCUGGAGAAGGUCCCAAGGGUUGGACUGUUCGCCCAUUAAAGCGGCACGCGAGCUGGGUUCAGACCGUCGUGAGACAGGUCGGUCUCUAUCCGUUGUGGGCGCCGGAGAUUUGAGGGGAGCUCUCCUUAGUACGAGAGGAUUAGGAGGGACAGACCUCUGGUGUGCCAGUUGUUCCGCCCGGAGCAGCGCUGGGUAGCUAUGUCUGGUUGGGAUAAGCGCUGAAAGCAUAUAAGCGCGAAGCCCACCCCAAGAUGAGAUCUCCCACCGGUUUAACCGGGUAAAGCCGCAAGUAGACUACUUGCUUGAUAGGCGGCGUGUGUAAGCGGAGUAAUCCGUUUAGCUAAGCCGUACUAAUGGCUGAGGCCUUGACUUA
RNAcentral lists this ribosomal RNA (1535 nucleotides) under Dehalococcoidia bacterium. RNAcentral's name for it is "partial 23S ribosomal RNA". It matches the Rfam family "Bacterial large subunit ribosomal RNA", at positions 1396 to 2925 of the family's 2925-position model. Lineage: Bacteria; Bacillati; Chloroflexota; Dehalococcoidia. The record is from RNAcentral.